Carassius auratus (goldfish) is the source of this 459-nucleotide long non-coding RNA. RefSeq lists it as uncharacterized. The transcript is spliced from 3 exons. The record is from RefSeq and is a predicted model, not a curated record. Lineage: Eukaryota; Metazoa; Chordata; Actinopteri; Cypriniformes; Cyprinidae.
AACAUCACCGUGUCUGUCAUUUGCUCCUCCUGUCUUUUUAAUGUUUCACUUGGAAAGUAGACAGAGGAGUGCGGUUGAAAGCAAGGGAGGGGUAAAAGGUGAUCAGCCACCAGGACAUCAAAGCGGAUGUCACAUAAAACAAAAGAUAAGAAUGGUUUAAACCAAUGAGCAUCAAGCAGCCAGGCAUGAUCAUACUUUAUGUGACUGACAAAACAACCAGUUUAACAGGUUUUUAUAGCCUUUAUAAAUUAUUCCAUUGCAUAUUCAUCAUUUACAAACUGAUGACAGACUUAGCCGUGGUCAUACCAUCCACGAUGGGUUCAAAUACACAAGUUUACGGGUUAAGAAAAUAUGUAUUUUUUACAUGUUCGAUUUGGAUUACAUUCUGCCUGAGUUUAUGGCAAAUGAAUUGUUUCCAAAUUAGAAAGUUUCACCUCCCUGCCCCUAAACAAAUUCUAC